Molecule: ribosomal RNA, 492 nt
Filed under: uncultured bacterium
Lineage: Bacteria
Description: partial 16S ribosomal RNA
Rfam family: Bacterial small subunit ribosomal RNA
Source: RNAcentral
AGUGAACGCUGGCGGUAGGCCUAACACAUGCAAGUCGAACGGCAGCACAGUAAGAGCUUGCUCUUACGGGUGGCGAGUGGCGGACGGGUGAGGAAUACAUCGGAAUCUACUUUUUCGUGGGGGAUAACGUAGGGAAGCUUACGCUAAUACCGCAUACGACCUACGGGUGAAAGCAGGGGAUCUUCGGACCUUGCGCGAUUGAAUGAGCCGAUGUCGGAUUAGCUAGUUGGCGGGGUAAAGGCCCACCAAGGCGACGAUCCGUAGCUGGUCUGAGAGGAUGAUCGGCCACACUGGAACUGAGACACGGUCCAGACUCCGACGGGAGGCAGCAGUGGGGAAUAUUGGACAAUGGGCGCAAGCCUGAUCCAGCCAUACCGCGUGGGUGAAGAAGGCCUUCGGGUUGUAAAGCCCUUUUGUUGGGAAAGAAAAGCAGCAGGUUAAUACCCCGCUGUUCUGACGGUACCCAAAGAAUAAGCACCGGCUAACUUCGUG